GGAUACUAUUUGCUGAAUGUUUGGAUUUUGUUUUCUUUUUAUGCAUUUUGGAUUAAUAUUGUCUGAUAGAUACAUGAAUCUGCUUGAUUCUUUUCAACCUUGUUUUGAAGUUUUGGGUAGAAGAGCACUCUCUCUAAGUCUAGUUUAGAACUAGUAUGAAGAAUCGAUCCUUCUGGGUUAUCUACGGAAUGCUCCAGAUCUUACAAGAGCUCUCUCUAUUAUGUUAGUAAGAGCUUCAACGUUACCCAGACCUGUCUGAGCUCUCAGAACUGUUUGUCUUUCACAGCUUGUAGUUCUUUGCUUAUUCUGCCAUGACUUCACAGCUUGUAGUUCUUUGCUUAUUCUGCCAUGACCUCACGUAAGCACAUGCAGGUUAGUACUCCAACAAACACAGAGUGGCUUGCUCUGCAAAUUCCUGGAGUUCUAACCCUGGGCCACUCCUUCCUCUUCAGGACUUUGCCCCCAAAGUCCUAACUGCAGUAGCCUGCUUGGGCUCUGCUGUCCAACUCCACCAUUCAAUGACACCUCUGGGCUCACUAGGAUUUACCACAGUAGGAUUUUGCCACAAUAUGGAAAGUGAUUAUAAGCAGCAAUCUGGGACAACUGGAGGGACAAAUCCAUUUGUUUUCCUUUCCUUAGAGGUUACAGGUCUACUCCGACUGUUAUCUAAUGUCUGAAAAAAGUUGCUCAGGAUGUUUUGUCCUGUUUUUUAGGUUAUUCUACUAUGGGGCUUGGAAGAGGAGAGGAUUUAAACACCAGUUAUUCUUCAUGGACAGACAUGGAAAUAAUUGAAGUUUUUAAAGAGAAAAUUGCAGCGGCUUCUCAGCUGGAGAUUACUGCAUCUGCAAUGAUAUCCAGUCCAAGUUCACAGUGUCAAAGAGAUGAAGGUGGAUCUUCCCUCACUGAUAAGAAGCUUGAAGCUCUCCAGCUCAUGUUCUCCUCCUGGCUCCUGAGGGUGCUUACAUGCAGCCCCAGGCUCCCACACGAAGAGGAUGAAGUCAUGGGAGGCUACAAACCACUUUCUAGUUACAGUUCCCUUUGAUUUCAAACUUCUGAGGCAUUGGCUGCACUCCAUAUCUCUCAACCAUGACAGAGGCCGUUUCUCUUCCCUGCCAAAGAAUAUGUUCAGAGACUAGAGUAAAGGCAUUAUCACAUAGUCAAAGAAAACAGAAGACUUGAGUACAAUCUGGUCUUAUUUCCUCGUAGCUGAAGGACUUUGAACAAAAAAAAGGUUAUACUCUGAACACUAAUUUCUUUUGUGCAAAAUGAGGAUAUAAAUAAAAUCCACUUCAUAAUUAAAAUCUUAAACA
RNAcentral lists this long non-coding RNA (1310 nucleotides) under Oryctolagus cuniculus (rabbit). RNAcentral's name for it is "lncRNA (ENSOCUG00000038208.1)". The record is from RNAcentral. Lineage: Eukaryota; Metazoa; Chordata; Mammalia; Lagomorpha; Leporidae.